UAACCUCCUUGUAUCAAGGUGACUCAACAUUAGCAUAGACGCUAUUAGGAGGACUGACCAAAAGUCUACCUAAUUAUGGAUAAGAAUCCAUGAGUACUUCAAUACUUUUAGAGAACCUAACUGGCCUAAACAUUCUGUGGGGUCGUUGACUAAUCGAUGGUCAACCAUCCAAAAAGCCACAAACAAGUUUUGUGGUUGUUUGGCCCAAUUUGAAUCAAUGCAUCCAAGCGGUACCAAUGAACAAGACAAUACUGAGAAGGCAAAGGUAAUGUACCGAUUGACACAAAAAGCCACCUAUAAUUUGGACCAUUUUUGUAACCUAUUGAGGCACCAACCAAAGUGGCAAGUGCACAUGGAUAAUUUGCCAACAAAGAGAAAGAAAGGUUGUUGUACCUUUCUAGCUGCCAAUGCCACGGAUAUAGACAUUUGUGAGAGCAUGUCUAUCAAUGUGGAGAGACCACUAGUCAAGAAAGUUGAAAAAGAAAGGGAAA
Juglans microcarpa x Juglans regia is the source of this 491-nucleotide long non-coding RNA. RefSeq lists it as uncharacterized. The transcript is spliced from 2 exons. Lineage: Eukaryota; Viridiplantae; Streptophyta; Magnoliopsida; Fagales; Juglandaceae. The record is from RefSeq and is a predicted model, not a curated record.